UAAGCUGUAGUUUAAAAAAAACAUUUAACUUACAAUUAAAAUUUACUAGUGUCAGCUUAA
Molecule: transfer RNA, 60 nt
Filed under: Proasellus parvulus
Lineage: Eukaryota; Metazoa; Arthropoda; Malacostraca; Isopoda; Asellidae
Description: transfert RNA-C(GTA)
Rfam family: tRNA
About the family: Transfer RNA (tRNA) molecules are approximately 80 nucleotides in length. Their secondary structure includes four short double-helical elements and three loops (D, anti-codon, and T loops). Further hydrogen bonds mediate the characteristic L-shaped molecular structure. tRNAs have two regions of fundamental functional importance: the anti-codon, which is responsible for specific mRNA codon recognition, and the 3' end, to which the tRNAs corresponding amino acid is attached (by aminoacyl-tRNA synthetases). tRNAs cope with the degeneracy of the genetic code in two manners: having more than one tRNA (with a specific anti-codon) for a particular amino acid; and 'wobble' base-pairing, i.e. permitting non-standard base-pairing at the 3rd anti-codon position.
Source: RNAcentral